GUCAGCAUGGUGUAGUGGUUUCAGUAUUGACAAUGACUCUGGAGACCUGGGUUCAAAUCCUUGCUCAGACA
This is a non-coding RNA of Phrynosoma platyrhinos (Desert horned lizard), 71 nucleotides long. The record is from the annotation of a GenBank genome assembly. NCBI's taxonomy places the organism in Eukaryota, Metazoa, Chordata, Lepidosauria, Squamata, Phrynosomatidae.